RNAcentral lists this non-coding RNA (29 nucleotides) under Rattus norvegicus (Norway rat). The record is from RNAcentral. Lineage: Eukaryota; Metazoa; Chordata; Mammalia; Rodentia; Muridae.
UAUGAAGUUCCCUCCAUAGCUACAGGCAA